RNAcentral lists this ribosomal RNA (1496 nucleotides) under Stichopus naso. RNAcentral's name for it is "16S ribosomal RNA". It matches the Rfam family "Bacterial large subunit ribosomal RNA", at positions 395 to 2925 of the family's 2925-position model. Lineage: Eukaryota; Metazoa; Echinodermata; Holothuroidea; Aspidochirotida; Stichopodidae. The record is from RNAcentral.
GCCACUGUUUUUUCUAUUUAUAUAAAGAACUUUCAGAAUUCGAGAUCAAAUUUUUUAAGCUAAAGACUUCUCCCUCCCCCACAAAUGCUUCGUUCUCAAAGUACCACAAGGGAAAGCUGAAAUAAAGUGAAAAUUAAAAGGAGCAAAAGAGUCUUUCGUACCUUUUGUAUUAUGGUUUAACAAGACUUUUUGGGAAAAUAUUCCAAAGCCCGAAACCUAGAGAGCUAACCCUCUUCUUCUUAACAAGAGAAUACUCCUACUGUUGCAAGAGUAGGGAAAGAGGAAAGGUUAGAAAUGAAAUGUUAAACGCGCUAGGUGAUAGCUGGUUUCUCAAGAAAGAAGUUUUAGCUUCUCCUCCUUAUUGCCGUGAACUCCGGUUUACAACAAGGACAUCCGUUUAGGAAGGAAAGAAAGGGGGAGACAAGUUCCCCUUUCAAGAAGGAAACAACCAAGAGGUCAGGAAAGGUCAACAAGAUUUAAUAAGGUUCAUGAUCAAAGUAGGCCUAAGAGCUGCCACCAUUUUAGGAAAGCGUUAAAGCUCAUAAGAAACGAUAACCAAAAAUAUCUGCAUAGUAAUACCAAACCUGCCCGAGCAGUAUUGAGAAGAACUAUAAUGUUAAAACGAGUAAGUAUAUAAAACAGCUCUGGGUAACGGAAAAUUAAUUUCAUAAACCAAGAACGGUUUCGACAACUCAAGAGAAAGAAACUUCUGAUAUCCCCCCAACGCAGGAACCCCCAGAGCACCGGGAAAAAAGAAAGGAAGGAACUAGGCAAACCUAGAGGAUGACUGUUUACCAAAAACAUAGCCCCUUGACACACUAUAAGGGGUCAAGCCUGCCCAGUGGGAAGGAUCUUCCUCAACGGCCGCGGUAUCUUGACCGUGCAAAGGUAGCAUAAUCACUUGUCUCUUAAAUGGGGACCCGUAUGAAUGGCUUUUCAUCCUUUAACUGUCUCCCUUUCUCACCACACAAACUUCUAUUUACGUGAAGAAGCGUACUUUAGAGAGAAAGACGAGAAGACCCUGUCGAGCUUUAGCUUAUCCUGAAAACUAAGUAUACCCUUCCAGGAAAAACCCUUUUCAGGCCAAGCUUUGGUUGGGGCAACCAUGGAGAAAAGAAAUCCUCCAGUUUUAUAGGAAGAGAACCACUCUCCUCCCCCGUUCUCAAGAACCAACAACUUUGGAAAACGGAAAAAGUUACCGCAGGGAUAACAGCGUUAUCUUUUCUGAGAGCCCUUAUUGACGAAAAGGAUUGCGACCUCGAUGUUGGAUUGGGGUAACCAAAGGGUGCAGCAGCUCUUUAAGGUUGGACUGUUCGUCCAUUAAUUCCCUACAUGAUCUGAGUUCAGACCGACGUGAGUCAGGUCAGCUUCUAUCUUCUACUUAUUCUUCCUAGUACGAAAGGACCGGAAAAAGGUCUUAAAUAGUUUUCACAAAAAGACAAAAAAAAGAAAAAAAAAAAAAAAAAAAAAGAACACUACCACAAACUCAAUGUAGG